CACCUCUAGCAUUAUUAGUAUUAGAGGCACUGCCUGCCCAGUGACAUUAGUUUAACGGCCGCGGUAUCCUGACCGUGCAAAGGUAGCAUAAUCAUUUGUUCCUUAAUUAGGGACUCGUAUGAAUGGCCCCACGAGGGUUUGACUGUCUCUUACUUUCAAUCAGUGAAAUUGACCUUCCCGUGAAGAGGCGGGAAUACAAAAAUAAGACGAGAAGACCCUAUGGAGCUUAAAUUAAAGAGUUCAACAAAAUCCAAACCUAAUCCAAUAGGAAAUAAUAACAUUUUAACUGGACAACAAAUUUUGGUUGGGGUGACCUCGGAGUAUAACAAAACCUCCGAGCGAUUUUUACCAAGACUUACCUGUCAAGGUAUAUUACUUAUUGAUCCAAUCAUAUUGAUCAACGAAACAAGUUACCCUAGGGAUAACAGCGCAAUCCUAUUUAAGAGUUCAUAUCAACAAUAGGGUUUACGACCUCGAUGUUGGAUCAGGACUCCCAAAUGGUGCAGCAGCUAUUAAAGGUUCGUUUGUUCAACG
RNAcentral lists this ribosomal RNA (534 nucleotides) under Crocidura eburnea. RNAcentral's name for it is "partial 16S ribosomal RNA". It matches the Rfam family "Bacterial large subunit ribosomal RNA", at positions 1816 to 2586 of the family's 2925-position model. Lineage: Eukaryota; Metazoa; Chordata; Mammalia; Eulipotyphla; Soricidae. The record is from RNAcentral.